GGGGGCGAAAAGGUUUCGACUGAGGGUUGAAGCUAUACCUGCAUGCCGAGGAAGACUCGUUGGCCUCGUAAAAAACCGAGUCGAAAAAAGAUAACUGCUAACUACAGGAAUCAACCAGGCGUGGUCGCAGGCAGUCCUGCGGUUGCGCUGCUCGGCUAGUAAAGGGCCGUGGCGCCUUCUUCUUGAAGCCUGCUAGAGAAGAAAAGGCGACGAUAGCAGGCUGGCCGGAUGUAAUGUGUCUACACAGGCGGCGAGGUGAAGUACGGACACUAGAGAGGUAGUCAAGGAUGGUGGCCUUUCGGGCGACCUCUGACAGUAGAGAGGGCCACGUAAGCAUGUAGACGGUAGGGCAGAUAGCUUUCAGGACACGGGUUCGAUUCCCGUCGCCUCCAG
This is a non-coding RNA of Candidatus Xiphinematobacter sp. Idaho Grape, 393 nucleotides long. Lineage: Bacteria; Pseudomonadati; Verrucomicrobiota; Spartobacteria. The record is from Rfam.